Molecule: long non-coding RNA, 479 nt
Filed under: Homo sapiens (human)
Lineage: Eukaryota; Metazoa; Chordata; Mammalia; Primates; Hominidae
Description: HSALNT0117364
Source: RNAcentral
GGAGGUGGGGAAGACAGGGCUCCAGCUACCACAGGACGGGCUCUGGGUAUAGCCGUUCCAGUCAGGGACAGCCGUGGAGAGACCAGGGACCAGGAAGCAGACAGUAUGAGCAUGACCAGUGGAGAAGGUACUAGUCAACCUCCAGAAAGAGUAUGGAGAGAAAAAGAGGCACACCUGGACGCAGAGCCCUGCCAGCGCCCUCCUCUGCUGUUGCAGCUGCAAGGAGACCAUGCCUGUGGGAGCCAGGCCUCGCUUGCAUGAAGAAGGAACGAUGCCUUUUUCAAUGGUGUCUCCCUCCCAUUGUGCAGAAGAGCUUUUGUUGGCUUCUCUCCCGAGCUUGUGCCUGAUUCUGUGGCCCAAAACAAUCAUUGUUAACAUCUUCAUGUGUUUCAUUCUGAUCUUUCAUUCAUAUAUAUGAUGCCUAGCUAAUUUCAUUUUAAAAUAAAUGGGAAUCUGUUGUAUUCUGAUUUUUUAUUAGC